Long non-coding RNA from Armigeres subalbatus, 479 nucleotides. RefSeq lists it as uncharacterized. The record is from RefSeq and is a predicted model, not a curated record. Lineage: Eukaryota; Metazoa; Arthropoda; Insecta; Diptera; Culicidae. The transcript has 2 exons.
UUCAAUGCCACCUGGAAAAUCACGUAGAUCAGACAGAAUGAACUUUCUCCUGACUUCAUCUGUCGAAGGUAACAAUCAUUAGACCUUAGAUAGAAAACAAAUUGAAGACCAGUAAUUGUUAUUGUGGGGCCCUAUGUAUGUCACGUGGAAAUCACGUAGAUGUUCUCAGUAUUCAUUCACUAUUUUAGUUCACUAGGUGCUGUUGUUCGCUGCCAUUUCUGAUUGACUUCUAAUAAAGAAGUCGAAAAUUAACUUAGAAAAACAAGUGGUUUUCGUACAGCAAACCAACCAUAUCGAUUGUUAGUAGAACAAGCCAUGUCUACUUAACUUCUUAAAUCUGCAGAAAUUGAACAAAGAAAUCCAAAGUUACUACCGUUUGAGGCAAAUAGCACACCAUAACACCGAUGAAAUGGCAGUGACGGAGAAGCUACACAUUUGUUUCGUUUUUGAUGUGUAUUAAAUAUAUUUUAUGCUACAAA